This 75-nucleotide transfer RNA is filed under the name Marmota monax (woodchuck). Its description in RNAcentral is "tRNA.Ala". Lineage: Eukaryota; Metazoa; Chordata; Mammalia; Rodentia; Sciuridae. The record is from RNAcentral.
CUGGGGUUGCAGCUCAGUGGUAAAGCACUUGCCUCGCAUGUGUGAGACACUGGGUUCGAUUCUCAGUACCACAUA